Molecule: ribosomal RNA, 495 nt
Filed under: uncultured bacterium
Lineage: Bacteria
Description: partial 16S ribosomal RNA
Rfam family: Bacterial small subunit ribosomal RNA
Source: RNAcentral
GACGAACGCUGGCGGCGUGCCUAAUACAUGCCAGUAGAACGCUGAAGGAGGAGCUUGCUUCUCUGGAUGAGUUGCGAACGGGUGAGUAACGCGUAGGUAACCUGCCUGGUAGCGGGGGAUAACUAUUGGAAACGAUAGCUAAUACCGCAUAAUAGUAGAUGUUGCAUGACAUUUGCUUAAAAGGUGCAAUUGCAUCACUACCAGACGGACCUGCGUUGGAUUAGCUAGUUGGUGGGGUAACGGCGCAACAAGGCGACGAUACAUAGUCGGCCUGCGGGGGGGAACGGCCCACCUGGGAAUGAGACACGGCUCCGACUCCUACGGGAAGCAGCAGUAGGGAAACUUCGGCAAUGGACGGAAGUCUGACCGAGCAACGCCGCGUGAGUGAAGAAGGUUCUCGGAUCGUAAAGCUCUGUUGUAAGGGAAGAACGAGUGUGAGAGUGGAAAGUUCACACUGUGACGGUAUCUUACCAGAAAGCGACGGCUAACUACGUG